AAGUGAAGCUGCUGCUGGAUAUACCGGUCCAGUCGCGGAAAGCGAGGGUUACAGCUAUUCAACACGAGCAGGGCAACAGCUGUAUUAGCACCAUCACUGGGGGUAAACUAGCAGCUUGGCAGCGCCACCUGAAAUUUCUACCUUAUAAACUGGAAUAGUGUUUGCGACAUUUGCUUUUUGGGAAACUAUACUGCCUGUAGUGGACCUACAGAAUCCUUACAAGCGUCUUACAGACUGAUAUCUACUCUUUGAAUUAUUUUGCUGUUAAUGACUCCCCAUCUGACUCAAAACCUCUGUGUUUGUGUGUUUUAACAAUAUCACAACCUCCGCUAACCCUUCCUUCUCUCUGACCCCUCUCCAACAUCCCCUGUUAAGGUGAGUUGUGUCUAAUCAUCACUUUUUCCUUGUGUGUGUCGAUGUGUGGAAUGCCUUUCGCGCCUGGUUCUCAGCAGUAUCCCGUCAUGUUUGCAAACCUUGCUUUGCUGCCUCAGCAUCAUACAGACCUCCCCACCUCCAUCCUCCCUUGGAAACAGCUCAUAAUAACAAGAGUGCUCACAUACUCUUUGCACUAUUAGAUGUUGCCAUGCAUGCUGAGCAACGAAGCAAUGCUUGAUCCCCUUCUCAUCAUCUUGUGAUCCAUCUGCUAGGUGGUGUAGAUAGCAGUUGCUGUUGUAUGUCCUUCUAGUUUCUUUCCCACGUCCCUGUUCUCUGAAGCUUUAAUGAGGUUUGGACAUCAUUAGCACCGCAUUGCCUUUAUCAUUGGAGGUCCUUUCACAAGCAGCUCUCUUUAACCUGAGCAGGGACUACAUUUACUG
Protopterus annectens (West African lungfish) is the source of this 815-nucleotide long non-coding RNA. RefSeq lists it as uncharacterized. The record is from RefSeq and is a predicted model, not a curated record. Lineage: Eukaryota; Metazoa; Chordata; Ceratodontiformes; Protopteridae. The transcript is spliced from 3 exons.